Molecule: ribosomal RNA, 253 nt
Filed under: uncultured bacterium
Lineage: Bacteria
Description: partial 16S ribosomal RNA
Rfam family: Bacterial small subunit ribosomal RNA
Source: RNAcentral
UACGUAGGGCGCAAGCGUUAUCCGGAAUUAUUGGGCGUAAAGAGCUCGUAGGCGGUUUGUCGCGUCUGCCGUGAAAGUCCGGGGCUCAACUCCGGAUCUGCGGUGGGUACGGGCAGACUAGAGUGAUGUAGGGGAGACUGGAAUUCCUGGUGUAGCGGUGGAAUGCGCAGAUAUCAGGAGGAACACCGGUGGCGAAGGCGGUUCUCUGGGCAUUACCUGACGCUGAGGAGCGAAAGCAUGGGGAGCGAACAGG